This 1381-nucleotide ribosomal RNA is filed under the name uncultured bacterium. RNAcentral describes it as "bacterial SSU rRNA". It matches the Rfam family "Bacterial small subunit ribosomal RNA", at positions 18 to 1394 of the family's 1533-position model. The record is from RNAcentral.
CCUGGCUCAGGAUGAACGCUAGCUACAGGCUUAACACAUGCAAGUCGAGGGGCAGCAUGGUCUUAGCUUGCUAAGACUGAUGGCGACCGGCGCACGGGUGAGUAACACGUAUCCAACCUGCCGUCUACUCUUGGACAGCCUUCUGAAAGGAAGAUUAAUACAAGAUGGCAUCAUGAGUCCGCAUGUUCACAUGAUUAAAGGUAUUCCGGUAGACGAUGGGGAUGCGUUCCAUUAGAUAGUAGGCGGGGUAACGGCCCACCUAGUCUUCGAUGGAUAGGGGUUCUGAGAGGAAGGUCCCCCACAUUGGAACUGAGACACGGUCCAAACUCCUACGGGAGGCAGCAGUGAGGAAUAUUGGUCAAUGGGCGAGAGCCUGAACCAGCCAAGUAGCGUGAAGGAUGACUGCCCUAUGGGUUGUAAACUUCUUUUAUAAAGGAAUAAAGUCGGGUAUGGAUACCCGUUUGCAUGUACUUUAUGAAUAAGGAUCGGCUAACUCCGUGCCAGCAGCCGCGGUAAUACGGAGGAUCCGAGCGCUAUCCGGAUUUAUUGGGUUUAAAGGGAGCGUAGAUGGAUGUUUAAGUCAGUUGUGAAAGUUUGCGGCUCAACCGUAAAAUUGCAGUUGAUACUGGAUAUCUUGAGUGCAGUUGAGGCAGGCGGAAUUCGUGGUGUAGCGGUGAAAUGCUUAGAUAUCACGAAGAACUCCGAUUGCGAAGGCAGCCUGCUAAGCUGCAACUGACAUUGAGGCUCGAAAGUGUGGGUAUCAAACAGGAUUAGAUACCCUGGUAGUCCACACGGUAAACGAUGAAUACUCGCUGUUUGCGAUAUACUGCAAGCGGCCAAGCGAAAGCGUUAAGUAUUCCACCUGGGGAGUACGCCGGCAACGGUGAAACUCAAAGGAAUUGACGGGGGCCCGCACAAGCGGAGGAACAUGUGGUUUAAUUCGAUGAUACGCGAGGAACCUUACCCGGGCUUAAAUUGCAGAUGAAUUACGGUGAAAGCCGUAAGCCGCAAGGCAUCUGUGAAGGUGCUGCAUGGUUGUCGUCAGCUCGUGCCGUGAGGUGUCGGCUUAAGUGCCAUAACGAGCGCAACCCUUGUUGUCAGUUACUAACAGGUUCCGCUGAGGACUCUGACAAGACUGCCAUCGUAAGAUGUGAGGAAGGUGGGGAUGACGUCAAAUCAGCACGGCCCUUACGUCCGGGGCUACACACGUGUUACAAUGGGGGGUACAGAGGGCCGCUACCACGCGAGUGGAUGCCAAUCCCCAAAACCUCUCUCAGUUCGGACUGGAGUCUGCAACCCGACUCCACGAAGCUGGAUUCGCUAGUAAUCGCGCAUCAGCCACGGCGCGGUGAAUACGUUCCCGGGCCUUGUACACACCGCC